AGAGUUUGAUCCUGGCUCAGGACGAACGCUGGCGGCGUGCUUAAUACAUGCAAGUCGAACGAAGCUGCAUAUAGGAAGCCUUCGGGUGGAAUAGAUGUAGACUUAGUGGCGGACGGGUGAGUAACGCGUGAGCAACCUGCCCAUAAGAGGGGGACAACAGUUGGAAACGACUGCUAAUACCGCAUAAGACCACACUAUCGCAUGAUAGAGGGGUCAAAGAAAUAUCGCUUAUGGAUGGGCUCGCGUCCCAUUAGGUAGUUGGUGAGGUAACGGCCCACCAAGCCGACGAUGGGUAGCCGACCUGAGAGGGUGAUCGGCCACAUUGGAACUGAGACACGGUCCAAACUCCUACGGGAGGCAGCA
This 363-nucleotide ribosomal RNA is filed under the name uncultured bacterium. RNAcentral describes it as "bacterial SSU rRNA". It matches the Rfam family "Bacterial small subunit ribosomal RNA", at positions 8 to 353 of the family's 1533-position model. The record is from RNAcentral.